AGCAAUCAGCGAGACUCCGUGGGCGUAGGACCCUCCGAGCCAGGUGCGGGAUAUAAUCUCGUCGUGCGCCAUUUUUUAAGCCCGUCGGAAAUGCGCAGUAUUCGGGUGGGAGUGACCCGAUUUUCCAGGUGCCGUCCGUCACCCCUUUCUUUGAUUAGGAAAGGGAACUCCCUGACCCCUAGCACUUCCCGAGUGAGGCAAUGCCUCGCCCUGCUUCGGCUCGCGCACGGUGCGCACCCACUGACCUGCGCCCACUGUCUGGCGCUCCCUAGUGAGAUGAACCCGGUACCUCAGAUGGAAAUGCAGAAAUCACCCGUCUUCUGCGUCGCUCAGGCUGAUUGCUGCAGACCGGAGCUGUUCCUAUUCGGCCAUCUUGCCUCCUCCCCCGGAAUUUUCUUAAUUGACCCUGGGCCAGGGAAAGAAAUGAAUGAAGAUGCCACCUUAUGCCCAGAACACAUCUCUCAUUCAAUGAUAAAGGAUUUGUGGUUGGGUCAACUUUUGUGAUGCUCAACUCUUUCCUUCGUAAGGACGGGCUCUUUCUCA
RNAcentral lists this long non-coding RNA (543 nucleotides) under Homo sapiens (human). RNAcentral's name for it is "non-protein coding lnc-NXPH1-2:7". The record is from RNAcentral. Lineage: Eukaryota; Metazoa; Chordata; Mammalia; Primates; Hominidae.